RNAcentral lists this ribosomal RNA (253 nucleotides) under uncultured bacterium. RNAcentral describes it as "partial 16S ribosomal RNA". It matches the Rfam family "Bacterial small subunit ribosomal RNA", at positions 524 to 776 of the family's 1533-position model. The record is from RNAcentral.
UACAGAGGGUGCGAGCGUUAAUCGGAAUUACUGGGCGUAAAGCGCGCGUAGGCGGCUUUGCAAGUCGGGUGUGAAAUCCCCAGGCUUAACCUGGGAACGGCAUUCGAGACUGCAUUGCUAGAGUAUGGGAGAGGGAAGUGGAAUUUCCGGUGUAGCGGUGAAAUGCGUAGAUAUCGGAAGGAACAUCAGUGGCGAAAGCGACUUCCUGGACCAAUACUGACGCUCAUGUGCGAAAGCGUGGGGAGCAAACAGG